Molecule: long non-coding RNA, 970 nt
Organism: Biomphalaria glabrata
Lineage: Eukaryota; Metazoa; Mollusca; Gastropoda; Planorbidae
Exons: 7
Source: RefSeq, a predicted model, not a curated record
UUAGGAACCUCUUUAUCUAGCAACUUUUUGUGGCAUUCUGGCAACAGAGCCCAACAAAUCUGGAAGAAAAUGAGCUUGUUAUGGUGCUGGAUUUCAAGGAAAAUAGGAAGGCUGCCUAUGCAGAAGUAAAAAGUGCUCAUUUUGGGAAAAACCAAAUCAGUCCACUCAGUGGUGCCUUUCUAGAGGUGUGGCAAUCAGAGUCUAUUAUUUCUCUCUGAGGACACUUGCCAUGACCAUCAUGCUGUGAAGUCCUUCACCAUACAAGUUCUGGAUCUUCUAAAAAAAAAAAAAGACGUCUUUUUCGAAGGUAACAAUUUGGAGUGAUGGGGCAGCCAGCCAGUACAAGGGUAAGGGCACAUUCUGUUACCCUAGCAACAUGCUGGGUCUGGAUGUGCAGUGGUGCUAUUUUCGUUAGGAGCAUGGCAAGAAUGAGUGGGAUGGUGAGACAUGAUUGUCUGUCUAAGCUAAACACAAACCCUCACAGCAAUACAUUGAGAGGGACAAUAACAAUGACUCACUUGCAGCCGUAAAUUGCACCGGUACUAAAGGCUGGCUGCCUAUGUCCUAAGAGCUCCACCGGCUGUGCUGUUGUGCCUAUAGACAGAACAAAUUCAACAUGUGUAGUGUAUAAAUGCUGACAUGGUUGGGGAAUAUGAAGUUCACAAGUUGAAACCAAACAUGAAUGUCAGUCUCAACAAUGGCUUUUUAGAGGAUCCAGAUGUUCAGAAGAAAAAUUCAGUUUCUGAGCCUGAAAGUUCUGUGUAUCAGCUAAAAGUUGGAGACAGUCAAAGUGCACUGCAGCAUAAAUAAAGUCAAGAAGAUUUUUUAUGCUGUGGUGAUUGUUGCUCCUGAACAAAGUGCUGAUAUCAGCGUCAAGUUUUUAGAAAAGAGUGGGACAUCCUAUGUAUUCAGUGACCAGUUGGAUGUUGGGCUCAUUGCUCCUGGCCUUCCUGAUUUUUAUACAUGGGAU